CAAACUGGCUGCGACAUUUGUCACCCCGUUGAUUGCUAAGCUUCCAUCCUAGAGGAUGACCUUUCCUGACUAGAGGAGGACCAGUCUUCGGCCAGGGGUGUGUGAAUAGCUGCGCUCCCCUGCUAGACCUUCCAAACAAGCUCUCAAGAGUUCUUAUGUGUCUGCACCACAGAGACCCCUGAAUUCUGUUUCUACGAGAGUCUCAUAGUCUGAGGUCU
Molecule: small nuclear RNA, 218 nt
Filed under: Jaculus jaculus (lesser Egyptian jerboa)
Lineage: Eukaryota; Metazoa; Chordata; Mammalia; Rodentia; Dipodidae
Description: 7SK RNA (ENSJJAG00000009379.1)
Rfam family: 7SK RNA
About the family: 7SK was discovered as an abundant small nuclear RNA in the mid-70s but a possible function has only recently been suggested. Two independent studies have found that 7SK RNA binds the CDK9/cyclin T complex (known as elongation factor P-TEFb).
Source: RNAcentral